CUCUGGACUGCAGCUCCCAGCCUGCACCGCUUCCGACUGGCUUCCGGGAAAGAGUGAGCUUGGGUACCUGCGCGCCCCGGGUUCUCCCGACUUCUUCGGGGGCAGGGCCGAUGGUUGUCUUGGUGACCGCUCCUAACGGUUCCGGUAGCCCCGAGAUCCUUGUUGAGAGGUUGCAGCCUGAGGUGCUGUCUGAAGACGCCACUGGUUCUUCCAAGUGUCCGCGGUGAAGCUGGUUUUAGCCUUAUAUGCGGAAUUGCUGGCGCUUGAGAGAAGAUUGAUUCAAAUCAUAAAAUGUCUCGAAAAAUUGCCAAGGAAUCAAAAAAAGUAAAUAUCUCUAGUUCUCUGGAAUCUGAAGAUAUUAGUUUGGAAACAACCAUUCAUACAGAUGAUGUUUCCUCAUCGGAAGAACGAGAGGGUAAAGUCAAAGUCACCAGGCAGUUAAUUGAAAGAAAAGAAAUACUUCAUAAUAUUCAGUUACUGAAAAUCGAGCUAUCCCAAAAAAACAUGAUGAUCGACAACUUGAAAAUGGAUUAUCUUACAAAGAUUGAAGAGCUGGAGGAGAGACUUAAUGACGCCCUUCACCAGAAACAGCUGCUGACCUUGCGACUAGACAAUCAGUUGACUGUUCAACAGAAAGAUGCCAAAAAAUAUCAAGAACUAAUGAAACAAGAAAUGGAAACCAUUUUAUUGAGACAAAAGCAACUGGAAGAGACAAAUCAUCAGCUAAGAGAAAAGGCUGGAGAUGUUCGCCGAAAUCUGCGAGACUUUGAGCUGACUGAAGAGCAGUAUGCGAAGCUAAAAUCUUUUCCUGAAGAUCAACUUUCUAUUCCUGAAUAUGUAUCUAUUCGGUUCUAUGAGCUAGUGAACCCAUUAAGAAAGGAAAUCUAUGAACUACAGGUGAAGAAGAAUGAACUCUCUGAAGACUUAAGUACAAGUAAAGGGCAACUGAAGCAGCUGACGGAGACAUAUGAAGAAGAUCGAAGAAACAACGCUGAACUUCUAACUCGAUGUCAACGUUUGACCUUAGAAUUAGCAGACACAAAACAGUUGGUUCAGCAAGGAGAUUACCGUCAAGAGAACUAUGACAAAGUGAAAAGUGAACGGGAUGCUCUUGAACAGGAAGUACUCGAGGUUAGAAGAAAACACGAAGUACUCGAAGCCUCUCACAUAGCUCAAGCUAAAGAAAGGAAUGAGUUAUCAAAAGAGGUCACCACCCUGCAGCAGACAGUCACCCUACUGCAGAAAGAUAAAGAGUACCUCAAUCGCCAAAAUAUGGAGCUCAGUGUACGAUGUGCCCAUGAGGAAGAUCGGCUUGAAAGGCUGCAGGUUCAAUUGGAAGAUACCAAAAAGGCUAGAGAAGAGAUGUAUGAGAAAUAUGUCUCGUCCAGAGACCAUUAUAAAACAGAAUAUGAAAAUAAACUACAUGAUGAACUGGAACAAAUCAAAUUGAAAACUAAUCUAGAAAUUGAUCAGCUUCGAAGUGCCUCUAGGGAAAUGUAUGAACGAGAAAACAGAAAUCUCCGUGAAGCACGAGAUAAUGCUCUCGCUGAAAAGAACCGAGCCAUGGCAGCAGAAAAAGAUGCUCUAGAAAAGCAUGAGCAGCUGCUAGACAGGUACAGAGAACUCCAGCUUAGUACAGAAAGCAGAGUGUCCGAGUUUCUCCAUCAGAGUAAGCUGAAGUCCUUUGAAAGUGAGCGUGUUCAACUCCUGCAAGAGGAAACUGCAAGAAAUCUUACACAGUGCCAGUUGGAGUGUGAAAAAUAUCAGAAGAAAUUGGAGGUUUUAACUAAAGAAUUUUAUAGUCUCCAAACUUCUUCUGAAAAACGCAUUACCGAACUCGAGGCCCAGAACUCAGAGCAUCAGGCAAGGUUAGACAUUUACGAGAAGUUGGAAAAGGAGCUUGAUGAAAUAAUAAUGCAAACAGCAGAAAUUGAAAAUGAAGAUGAGGCUGAAAGAAUUCUUUAUUCCUAUGGCUAUGGUGCUAAUGUUCCCACAACAGCUAAAAGACGACUGAAGCAAAGUGUCCACUUGGCAAGAAGAGUUCUUCAGUUAGAAAAACAAAAUUCAUUAAUUUUAAAAGAUCUGGAACAUCAAAAGAACCAAGUAAGACAGCUUUCACAAGAGCUUGACAGAGCCAAUUCACUGUUAAAUCAGACUCAGCAACCCUACAGAUACCUCAUAGAGUCUGUGCGGCAGAGGGAUUCCAGGAUUGACUCACUGACAGAGUGCAUAGCUGGACUGGAAAGAGAUGUCAGCAACUUAAAUAAAGAAAAAUCAGCGCUGCUGCAGACGAAGAACCAGAUGGCACUGGAUUUGGAGCAGCUUCUAAAUCACAGAGAGGAAUUUGCAGCUAUGAAGCAGAUCAUCAUUAAUAUGUGUAAUAAACAUUCUGAGAACAACUUACUUCUUACAAAAAUGGAGUCAACAAGUGUGCCAGAAAAUCAAGCAAAGGCUUUGAACAUGCCAAGAGAACAUGAAGAGAAUAUAUUUAUACCCAAGCCAACGCUGUUUGUCCUCAAGCUUCCUGGGAUUUUUCAGUCUCCACCUCCCAUCUCAUGCCUAGGAUUCUGAGAUUCUAGACUUGCAUCACUGCAUCCAACUGUAGUGGAUGCUAGGAAUCCAAACUCAGAUUCUGUGGUUACAGACCCAUGCUGCCCCCAAGCUUCAGAACGCUCCAGUCUACAUCAGACAGAGGAACCCUACUGUAAGGGUAUACAUUGCAGAGAUGGAGGCCAAGGAGAACAGCAAGUCAACUGAGUGCUCUCUUUAAGGGACAGCUUGGGACGCUCCGCAGCCGUGGCCCCUGAGCGCCCAUCCACUGUGCGUGCUCAUAGACUCCUUCCUUCCUCUGACCUAGUCAAGGCCCUAGUCUCAAGACACCUUCUGUACAUUCUUUACAUGUUCACUGGAAGGGAAGAAAUCGGUUCUUUAUCUCUCCAGUUUGGUUGUCUAAGAAGCUCUUAAAACCACAUUACUCAGUAGGGAACUAAACUCUGGGAAGCGAGGGCCAUCUGCAAACUAGAGUUAGCAGUGCCUUGCAACUGCAGCACCCAGUGGGUGCCUCUCACUCGGAAACCCACCGCUCAGUUGGGCAUGAUAUCUCCCGCCUGUGUUCUCAGCAUUUGGGAGGCCAAGGCAGGAUGCUAGCCUUAAGUUUGAGGCCAGCAUGAGUUACAUAGUGAAUUUCAGGCCAGGGUGGACUACAGAAUGAUAGAACCUAUCUGAAAAAAAAAAAAAAAGAAUGACUUAAUUUUUAUUUCUAAAGUCAGAAAUACAACUGUAGCUUCUUCCAUAUGUAGUUUAAGCCAUUUGAAAUAAAUCUCUGAGUGAACGUGGGAUGAGGGCGUAAGGGGCAAAUGAUUGCAGACAGUCUAUUUUGUCCGUACAAACCCAGACCGACUGGAACUCCUUGAAGGUGGGCUCUACCUGUGAAGAGUCAGAAAGCCAUCACUGUGUCCUAGCCUGUCCUACUAGAAAACAGAAGGAUUAUGGCGACGACACAGUCUUUCUCUUCCUUAAAAGAGAUGCUGGUUAAACACUAAGAGAGUCUUAAUCUCCAGCUCCUUCCCUGGAUGCCAGGAGUAAUCCAGCAGGCUUACUCUGUCUGCUUUUAUCAGUCACUCUUCCUUCUCAUUUUAACCAACUUUCUCAGUGUGUUAGAAUCCCCGAGUUAUAGAUUAAUGCCUUAGAUGGCUAUGUCUGGAUGACACAAAGGUUUUUGUCUUAUCAGUUGAUCGUCUCCAAAAACCCCCUGGGAGUAGUGAAUUACUUCUGGUAGGCUCCCAGUUAAUCUGGUCAUGGGUUUCUACGGCAGCUCUCUGAGUGCCUCACAAAAUGUGGAGUAGUUCACUUUGGGACUUGUUAACAUUGUAACAAUUAAAGUAUUUUUAUUAAUUUGUACUGUUUCUCUAUAAAAUUAUAAAUAUAAUUAACUUAAGCAAGUGCAAGCAUAUAAUAAUUAAGGCAGUGUUCACAGUAAUAAAAAAUAAUCAUUAAGUAUGUCUCUGAAAUGUUACAUACAUAAAUAAAUGGAAAUUGGCUU
Molecule: RNA transcript, 4042 nt
Organism: Mastomys coucha (southern multimammate mouse)
Lineage: Eukaryota; Metazoa; Chordata; Mammalia; Rodentia; Muridae
Gene: Pibf1
Gene name: progesterone immunomodulatory binding factor 1
Exons: 19
Source: RefSeq, a predicted model, not a curated record